CAGUCGCCGCGGGAACACGAAGGGUGCAAGCGUUAAUCGGAAUUACUGGGCGUAAAGCGUGCGUAGGCGGUUUGUUAAGUCUGUUGUGAAAUCCCCGGGCUCAACCUGGGAAUGGCAAUGGAUACUGGCAAGCUAGAGUGUGUCAGAGGAUGGUGGAAUUCCCGGUGUGGCGGUGAAAUGCGUAGAGAUCGGGAGGAACAUCAGUGGCGAAGGCGGCCAUCUGGGACAACACUGACGCUGAGGCACGAAAGCGUGGGGAGCAAACAGGAUUAGAUACCCGAGUAGUCCCUGUCUCUUAUAC
RNAcentral lists this ribosomal RNA (301 nucleotides) under uncultured bacterium. Its description in RNAcentral is "partial 16S ribosomal RNA". It matches the Rfam family "Bacterial small subunit ribosomal RNA", at positions 509 to 807 of the family's 1533-position model. The record is from RNAcentral.